UAAUUGCCAUAACUUCUCUUAGCCAUGUCUAGGAUAAAUCAAUUGAUCACUCAGUUUUGUCUUGCUACCACCAGAAAGAAGUGCUAAAAGUGUUCAUCUUAAUUCAAUGGUUUCACUCUUGACCCAUCUCUUGGUGACUUUAUCCUGAUUCACACAUUAAGUGAUAUUCUUGUGGCUGCAUAUACAAAGUACUCUUUGAUUUUCAGUCUCUCUCUGCAAUCUACCUACAAAUCUACAAUCUGAAGAGGACUGUCUGCCUCUGUCCAACUCCAUGCAAUGCUAUCCUUCAACUCCCUUUCAUAGAGCAUCUCCACCAAGUGGCACCACUUUUCCUAGAACAUGUAUUUCACUUCAAUGUUUCACUGAAUGUCAGGAGGUGCUACAUAGUAAGCGGAAUCAACAUUUUACAAUUGACACCCUUGAUGGGGCUUGAUCAAUUCUUUUGGCUGAAACAAUUAUUUUUCUAUGGUGCCAACCUUUUAUACUCUUGAUGAAUGACAUGACUUUGAGAAAAAGAGAUAAUAGUGAGGUUUGGAUUUGA
This is a long non-coding RNA of Lotus japonicus, 541 nucleotides long. RefSeq lists it as uncharacterized. The transcript has 3 exons. NCBI's taxonomy places the organism in Eukaryota, Viridiplantae, Streptophyta, Magnoliopsida, Fabales, Fabaceae. The record is from RefSeq and is a predicted model, not a curated record.